This is a long non-coding RNA of Chelonus insularis, 705 nucleotides long. RefSeq lists it as uncharacterized. NCBI's taxonomy places the organism in Eukaryota, Metazoa, Arthropoda, Insecta, Hymenoptera, Braconidae. The record is from RefSeq and is a predicted model, not a curated record. The transcript is spliced from 3 exons.
AUUGAACCGAGCAUUUCGUUUAUCUUGAAGAAAAUCAAUCCGUCUUUUGGGAGAUCAACGGUCCAACCUUCGUCCUUACUUUCAAAGAGGAAUAGUACUAAACGUCGGAGAAGGAAUAAUGGUACGCUGAACUCUCUCCCGGGCAUAUCCAGAGCAAAGAGAUUAAGGAGGGAUGACAGCACAGCCUCGGUGGGGAUGGUUUAGACGCACCGAGUCGUUUAGUAGUAGAUGGAGGGGACACAAACCCGGGAUUCAAAGGGGUUGAUCGAUGCCCGCGGCUUUCUCUUAUCUUCAGAAACACUGAGUUGUAUUGGUUUCAUCGAUUAGGAUACGCGUCCCCGGACCAGACCUGUGUACACCUGGUGGUUUUCCAGAAAGCUACUCAAGUGCGAAUAACUUGCGGCUGUCCACUAUAGUUUGUUCUCAGUCAAAUAAGUCGUUAUAACACGGUAUUCUAAGUAAGAAAAUCAAUGUCACACGAGCUUUUGCAAUACGUACCUCUAUAGAAAAUAAAAUAUCUCUAGAAUUCGUUAGAAAAUAUUUUUUGUUUUUUGUUAUUCAUAAAAAUCAAUUUUGUGGUUCUGUAGAGAAACUGAUAUUUAGAUUAUAAGGUUGAGAAUUUAGGUAAAGAAAUUUAGUAAAAAUAAUUUAAAUAUAUUCAUGAUUAAAAACCACCCUGAAAGACUCUUAAUUACUUUCUUUAAG